Long non-coding RNA from Scatophagus argus, 1267 nucleotides. RefSeq lists it as uncharacterized. NCBI's taxonomy places the organism in Eukaryota, Metazoa, Chordata, Actinopteri, Scatophagidae. The record is from RefSeq and is a predicted model, not a curated record. The transcript has 3 exons.
GUGAUGUCAUAUUCAGACGAAAUUUCUGGACGAUGUGAGAACUUUAGAGACAAGUGGAGCAAAACCCAGUUAGAUACUGUGUUACGUCAUAUGUGCGACUGAUUCAUAGUUUAAGUCUUUGUAUUUAUUUCCUAGUCCCUUCAUUCACCUCAAAGAAACCACACGAUUAAAGAAAACAGACCUUUAUUUUGGAAUGUAUUUAUUUUAGUAAAGUAAACGGCAGUUAGCCGCCAAGCUAAAGCCCACGAAGCAGCUGAUGUCAUUUAACUUUAACACAGCGUUAAUUCACUCAGUGUGGUCAGACAGAAACGACACAGGAAAUUCAGGACAAAAUUACUUUGGAAAUGAAGAUGAAACAUGAGGGAGGAAGCUAAGGUUCGCUACCCAGCAGCAAGCAGGCCAACCCGGGUUAAAGGUGGAAUAAUUCAGCCUGUCGGCGUGUUUGUUUGACCUCUAAUGUCAGCAGAUGAACAUGGAAACGGACCGAAGUGCAGUCACGAUGCAACAUGAGAAGCUUUUAAUAAGCCACUUCGAAAGAGAUGCGCCAUCUGCACUGGAGACGAAGCCUCGUCCAAGGCUGCAGUGGCUCCCCUGAAGACUGCUGAACGUUCAAGCAACAAAGAAAUAUCUGCACCACUCUGAUUGGGAGGCCAAAUCAUCUCAUCAGUUUACUUGACAGAACCACAAAAUUUUAGAAUACGACAGCAUCUGUACCCCCACUUGUCCACCAGAUGGAGUCCUCACAGCGUCAGCUGCUGUAAACUGCACAGUGUCAUUCUGCCCAGUAAAUAGCAGAUGUAUGCAAAGCUCUCUGUAGAUUAAAAUUAUGCAAAAGUACUUUUUAAUCUCAUUGUACAUGUGUAUAGUGACAAUAAAGUAAUUCUAAUCUAUUCUACUGUACAAUAGUAAUCUUGGCUCACAUCUUCUUCAAUUUAGCGCCCCCUUCAUCUGUCCUUGUUCAUGGCCACAUGUUUUUAACAGGCCUUGUUCCUGCUUCAUCGUGCGCACACACACACAGCUUAGUCCAGCCUUCGGCCAUGUUUGAACAGACACACCUGCAGCUCAUCAGGUCAGGUCUGCAGGUCAUCAGAGUCACAUGCUUUUAGAAGGGCUUAAGAAAACCGCAUGUUUCACAUUAAAACGCGUGUUUGGAUCAGUAUUUCAAUGUUCACAUUUGAACACAUAAGGAACACAACCGGGAAGCGACAGAGUGAUUUAAAAAUGUCAAAAACACAAAAUCUUUGAGCCAUCCUUGCACAAAAAGAAU